ACAACAUUCGAACCGUCGGUCUACCGAGCAAAAUAUCACCAGCACAGUCGAAGAUCUUCCCUUGGUUGU
This 69-nucleotide microRNA precursor is filed under the name Bombyx mori (domestic silkworm). RNAcentral's name for it is "mir-2774 microRNA precursor family". It matches the Rfam family "mir-2774 microRNA precursor family". The record is from Rfam by way of RNAcentral. Lineage: Eukaryota; Metazoa; Arthropoda; Insecta; Lepidoptera; Bombycidae.